GUCGACUUGGAGGUUGUGCCCUUGAGGCGUGGCUUCCGGAGCUAACGCGUUAAGUCGACCGCCUGGGGAGUACGGCCGCAAGGUUAGAACUCAAAUGAAUUGACGGGGGCCCGCACAAGCGGUGGAGCAUGUGGUUUAAUUCGAUGCAACGCGAAGAACCUUACCUGGUCUUGACAUCCACAGAACUUUCCAGAGAUGAAUGUGUGCCUUCGGGAACUGUGAGACAGGUGCUGCAUGGCUGUCGUCAGCUCGUGUUGGGGAAUGUUGGGUUAAGUCCCGCAACGAGCGCAACCCUUAUCUUUUGUUGCCAGCGGUCCGGCCGGGAACUCAAAGGAAACUGCCAGUGAUAAACUGGAGGAAGGUGGGGAUGACGUCAAGUCAUCAUGGCCCUUACGACCAGGGCUACACACGUGCUACAAUGGCGCAACCAAAGAGAAGCGACUUCGCGAGAGCAAGCGGACCUCAUAAAGUGCGUCGUACGAUGGAUUUGACUCAUCGA
Molecule: ribosomal RNA, 499 nt
Filed under: Escherichia coli
Lineage: Bacteria; Pseudomonadati; Pseudomonadota; Gammaproteobacteria; Enterobacterales; Enterobacteriaceae
Description: bacterial SSU rRNA
Rfam family: Bacterial small subunit ribosomal RNA
Source: RNAcentral